UACGUAGGGUGCAAGCGUUAAUCGGAAUUACUGGGCGUAAAGCGUGCGCAGGCGGUUCGUUGUGUCGGCGGGGAAAGCCCCGAGCUUAACCUGGGAAUGGCCGUUGAAACUGGCGAACUGGAGUGUGGCAGAGGGGGGUGGAAUUCCGCGUGUAGCAGUGAAAUGCGUAGAGAUGCGGAGGAACACCGAUGGCGAAGGCAGCCCCCUGGGCUAACACUGACGCUCAGGCACGAAAGCGUGGGGAGCAAACAGG
Molecule: ribosomal RNA, 253 nt
Filed under: uncultured bacterium
Lineage: Bacteria
Description: partial 16S ribosomal RNA
Rfam family: Bacterial small subunit ribosomal RNA
Source: RNAcentral